RNAcentral lists this non-coding RNA (31 nucleotides) under Rattus norvegicus (Norway rat). Lineage: Eukaryota; Metazoa; Chordata; Mammalia; Rodentia; Muridae. The record is from RNAcentral.
UGGGUUGACUGAGGGAACUCGAGCCCUCCCC